GACGGAGGGGGCAAGCGUUGUCCGGAUUUACUGGGCGUACAGGGCGCGUAGGUGGCCCGCCACGUCGCUGGUGAAAUCGCGCGGCUUAACCGUGCGCCGUUCAGCGAUACGAGCGGGCUGGAGGCUUCCAGAGGUCGGUGGAAUUCCCGGUGUAGUAGUGAAAUGCGUAGAACUCGGGAGGAACACCUGUGGCGCAGGCGGCCGACUGGGGAAGUACUGACACUGAGGCGCGACAGCGUGGGGAGCGAACCGA
RNAcentral lists this ribosomal RNA (253 nucleotides) under uncultured prokaryote. RNAcentral describes it as "partial 16S ribosomal RNA". It matches the Rfam family "Bacterial small subunit ribosomal RNA", at positions 524 to 776 of the family's 1533-position model. The record is from RNAcentral.